Molecule: ribosomal RNA, 285 nt
Filed under: uncultured bacterium
Lineage: Bacteria
Description: partial 16S ribosomal RNA
Rfam family: Bacterial small subunit ribosomal RNA
Source: RNAcentral
AACGAACGCUGGCGGCGUGCCUAACACAUGCAAGUCGAACGCGAAAGGGGGCAACCCCCGGUAGCGUGGCAGACGGGUGAGUAACACGUGGGUAACCUACCCGGAGGUGGGGGAUAACCUUCGAAAGGAGGGCUAAUACCGCAUGACACCGCGGGGACUUCGGUCCUUGCGAUCAAAGCUGGCCUCUGUUUACAAGCUAGCGCCACCGGAUGGGCCCGCGCCCCAUUAGCUAGUUGGUGAGGUAACGGCUCACCAAGGCGACGAUGGGUAGCCGGCCUGAGAGGG